GUCUGCAUGGAGCCGACCUUGAAAUACCACCCUUUAAUGUUUGAUGUUCUAACGUGGACCCGUAAUCCGGGUUGCGGACAGUGUCUGGUGGGUAGUUUGACUGGGGCGGUCUCCUCCUAAAGAGUAACGGAGGAGCACGAAGGUUGGCUAAUCCUGGUCGGACAUCAGGAGGUUAGUGCAAUGGCAUAAGCCAGCUUGACUGCGAGCGUGACGGCGCGAGCAGGUGCGAAAGCAGGUCAUAGUGAUCCGGUGGUUCUGAAUGGAAGGGCCAUCGCUCAACGGAUAAAAGGUACUCCGGGGAUAACAGGCUGAUACCGCCCAAGAGUUCAUAUCGACGGCGGUGUUUGGCACCUCGAUGUCGGCUCAUCACAUCCUGGGGCUGAAGUAGGUCCCAAGGGUAUGGCUGUUCGCCAUUUAAAGUGGUACGCGAGCUGGGUUUAGAACGUCGUGAGACAGUUCGGUCCCUA
RNAcentral lists this ribosomal RNA (467 nucleotides) under Salmonella enterica subsp. enterica serovar Uganda. RNAcentral describes it as "partial 23S ribosomal RNA". It matches the Rfam family "Bacterial large subunit ribosomal RNA", at positions 2174 to 2640 of the family's 2925-position model. The record is from RNAcentral. Lineage: Bacteria; Pseudomonadati; Pseudomonadota; Gammaproteobacteria; Enterobacterales; Enterobacteriaceae.